RNAcentral lists this ribosomal RNA (375 nucleotides) under Pseudomonas sp. LT41. RNAcentral describes it as "bacterial SSU rRNA". It matches the Rfam family "Bacterial small subunit ribosomal RNA", at positions 56 to 433 of the family's 1533-position model. The record is from RNAcentral. Lineage: Bacteria; Pseudomonadati; Pseudomonadota; Gammaproteobacteria; Pseudomonadales; Pseudomonadaceae.
UGCAAGUCGAGCGGUAGAGAGGUGCUUGCACCUCUUGAGAGCGGCGGACGGGUGAGUAAUGCCUAGGAAUCUGCCUGGUAGUGGGGGAUAACGCUCGGAAACGGACGCUAAUACCGCAUACGUCCUACGGGAGAAAGCAGGGGACCUUCGGGCCUUGCGCUAUCAGAUGAGCCUAGGUCGGAUUAGCUAGUUGGUGAGGUAAUGGCUCACCAAGGCGACGAUCCGUAACUGGUCUGAGAGGAUGAUCAGUCACACUGGAACUGAGACACGGUCCAGACUCCUACGGGAGGCAGCAGUGGGGAAUAUUGGACAAUGGGCGAAAGCCUGAUCCAGCCAUGCCGCGUGUGUGAAGAAGGUCUUCGGAUUGUAAAGCAC